GUUGGAAAGAGGAGUGGCUGGAAUGUGUGGAGCUAAUGUAAUUCCAGGCUGACAAGCAUCCCUUGGACAUCUGGAUGAGGUUGCUGUAAUUAGUACCUCAGAAGCUGCUUUAACUUAUGCUGUGGCUCACAUUAGCCCCUGGAGCAGUCUGGAAUUUGGGAGGUGCAACAUGGAAUCUGAUCCAUUCUCUCCAGUGAGAACAGCUGCAUAAAGUUUCUUCGGAAGCUGGCUAUUUUCAGUCCCGGUUUUGGCCACAGAGAAUAGUUGAACUAUGUAGGAAUGUCCUUUUGUAGGAAAUGUAGCUGUCAGAGCAUUUGCCACUACCUCCAGAUGUAUUGUUUAUGAUUGUAACAAGCCAAAAUAUGAAGCAGAAUUAAUCAGGCAAGAGCUGGCUUUCAGGUGCAGCAAGCUGAUUUUAAGUUAAUGUGACUUAGAAUGGAGAGGGACAAUUUUGGUCAUCUUGAGAACAGGCUAAAAGCAGCACUGACAAAUGCUUCUCUCGGCAAUAUGUUUUGGAAGAUGGGGAAAAUAUUACAUUGCUCUAGUGAUUGUUGCGGAAGGCACUUGCAAAUAUCUUUGAAGGUUAAAAACUGAACUUGCUCCAGUGGACAUCUGUGAAUGAAAGUCUGCCAAAAGUGAUGGCAAAUGGUUGAGUACUUUAGUUACUAUAAUGUGAUGUUAUAAUGUUAUAUAGUCAUAUAAUAUGCACAUGAGUGUGUGUGAAAAGUGUUUACAUGGCCAUCUUGAAAGUUCCUUCUAACUUGGAAGUCAUCCAAACAAAGAGCAGAAAUAAACCACAUGGGCAUGUCCA
Molecule: long non-coding RNA, 811 nt
Filed under: Crocodylus porosus (Australian saltwater crocodile)
Lineage: Eukaryota; Metazoa; Chordata; Crocodylia; Crocodylidae
Description: lncRNA (ENSCPRG00005014675.1)
Source: RNAcentral